This 492-nucleotide ribosomal RNA is filed under the name uncultured bacterium. Its description in RNAcentral is "partial 16S ribosomal RNA". It matches the Rfam family "Bacterial small subunit ribosomal RNA", at positions 29 to 507 of the family's 1533-position model. The record is from RNAcentral.
AGUGAACGCUGGCGGUAGGCCUAACACAUGCGAGUCGAACGGCAGCACAGUAAGAGCUUGCUCUUACGGGUGGCGAGUGGCGGACGGGUGAGGAAUACAUCGGAAUCUACUUUUUCGUGGGGGAUGACGUAGGGAAACUUACGCUAAUACCGCAUACGACCUACGGGUGAAAGCAGGGGAUCUUCGGACCUUGCGCGAUUGAAUGGGCCGAUGUCGGAUUAGCUAGUUGGCGGGGUAAAGGCCCACCAAGGCGACGAUCCGUAGCUGGUCUGAGAGGAUGAUCAGCCACACUGGAACUGAGACACGGUCCAGACUCCUACGGGAGGCAGCAGUGGGGAAUAUUGGACAAUGGGCGCAAGCCUGAUCCAGCCAUACCGCGUGGGUGAAGAAGGCCUUCGGGUUGUAAAGCCCUUUUGUUGGGAAAGAAAGGCAGCAGGUUAAUACCCCGCUGUUCUGACGGUACCCAAAGAAUAAGCACCGGCUAACUUCGUG